This 245-nucleotide ribosomal RNA is filed under the name uncultured bacterium. RNAcentral describes it as "partial 16S ribosomal RNA". It matches the Rfam family "Bacterial small subunit ribosomal RNA", at positions 524 to 768 of the family's 1533-position model. The record is from RNAcentral.
UACGGAGGGUGCAAGCGUUAAUCGGAAUUACUGGGCGUAAAGCGUGCGCAGGCGGUUUUUUAAGUCAGAUGUGAAAGCCCCGGGCUUAACCUGGGAAUUGCAUUUGAUACUGAAAGACUUGAGUUUGAGAGAGGGGAGUGGAAUUUCAGGUGUAGCGGUGAAAUGCGUAGAGAUCUGAAGGAACACCAGUGGCGAAGGCGACUCCCUGGCUUAAAACUGACGCUCAUGUACGAAAGCGUGGGUAG